Molecule: transfer RNA, 73 nt
Filed under: Clostridium sp. CAG:307
Lineage: Bacteria; Bacillati; Bacillota; Clostridia; Eubacteriales; Clostridiaceae
Rfam family: tRNA
About the family: Transfer RNA (tRNA) molecules are approximately 80 nucleotides in length. Their secondary structure includes four short double-helical elements and three loops (D, anti-codon, and T loops).
Source: Rfam by way of RNAcentral
GCGUACGUGGUGAAGUGGUUAACACUCUGGUUUGUGGCACCAGCACUCGCAGGUUCGAUUCCUGUCGUACGCC